RNAcentral lists this long non-coding RNA (1457 nucleotides) under Coturnix japonica (Japanese quail). Its description in RNAcentral is "lncRNA (ENSCJPG00005005083.1)". Lineage: Eukaryota; Metazoa; Chordata; Aves; Galliformes; Phasianidae. The record is from RNAcentral.
UUUUGUUUGUUUGUUUUUUAAUGUAUCAGUAUAUAUAUAUAUAGUUAAAUAGUUAUAUAACAGUUAUAGUUGAAUAUAUAUAUAUAUAUGUAUAUAUAUAUUCAUGGAUGAUAUCUGAAUGGCAAGAAGCUGUUUCAGUGGAGGAAUGGGACUGAGACUCAGAAGAUGUGUCCUUCUCCUCCUGUCCUCCUUAAGUCACAUUUAACUUCUGAGUGAGUCAGUUUCCCAAUGCAAUAGCAAAUUACUGCUAUUUCAGAAUAAUUCAUUAAUAGCAUUAAUGUUAUUUCCUGUCUUUACCUCUAUUGUUCCAUUGGGUACAGAUUCUGCCUACACAAUAACUGGCGGGACAAACCCUGCUGAAACACUCUUUAUGUGUUUCUAAGUAUCCUAUUAGUAAAACCUCAUUUGCCUAAACUAUUCUGCCACACAUGUGGAUAUGGCACAUGUUCUGGCAAUGAAACACCUUAGAAAGACAGUGAUUCUCCAGCUGUCGCACAUAACUUGUCUGCCUCUGUUCAACUCAACCUCUCUUCCAGUAACAAGUAGAUAGACAACCCCUCCUGUUUAUAAUGAAUACAGGCUACUGGCACAGAGUGGCUAUAUUUAUAGUUUUUACCCUACAAUGAACAUAAUGAACAACCAUUUCUCCAUACAGUUGCGACUUCCUGCAGUGCUGUGUGCUUUCCACUCCACAUGAGGAUGGGGAAAACUUUGCUUCUUGGAGUCCUUCAACACCUUUCAGGUUUUGCCACGCUCUCUAUUGCUUGGAAGUGUCUAAAUCCCCCAAGGAAAUUGCUGCCGACAGCUCAACAAGAUACUCCAAACCAGCCUGCCACCUGGGUGCCAUAUCACGGACUGGGUUCUCUCACCAUGCCAAACCCCAAAGGAAAUGCAGACGGCAUGUGGAGAUUAUGGUUGUCCACUUCAUCCUGCUUCCAUCACUGAGUGGCCAGAUAUCCUUCCUGUGAUGCUAGAGAGUGGUUGAGGCAUUUCUUUCUGCCUGACUUGAGUUCAGGCCUCAAAUCUCAAAGGUGUGAUGGUACUCCCUCAGCCUGCUCCCUUCCUCUUCAAGAACUUUGUGCCAUUGAGCCCCUCAAAAAGAAACUGGCCCUAGUCCUAGGGCCAGGCUGUGCCCAACACAACCUGCACCUCUCCCACAACUUCCCACUGCCACAGCAGGAAAAACUCAAGCCUUAAACAGAGAGCCAUUUUGACACACAUUUUGACUCUGAGCAUAACAGAAAACAGACACUGACAUCCACAGCCCCUCAGGAAACACAGACCUUGGCCUUAUCUUGUACCUACCUCUCCAUGCAUCCUUUUGCUUGACUGCUCUCACACAAACAUCCUGAGUCUAAAAUGCAUCAUCUCCAUUGGCAGCCAAGAGUCAAGUUUACUUGCUAUUAGGUCCCUGGAAGCAGCUGCUGAUAAAAUAAAGAGACCUUGACACCAUGCCA